This 3082-nucleotide long non-coding RNA is filed under the name Nicotiana tabacum (common tobacco). RNAcentral describes it as "long non-coding RNA (NTAB_LNC006079)". The record is from RNAcentral. Lineage: Eukaryota; Viridiplantae; Streptophyta; Magnoliopsida; Solanales; Solanaceae.
GAGCAAUGGCCGAUACAAAGGUGUUCUCCACCGAGCAACAGUUAACUCAGAGAAAAAGCGCCUAUCCAUUGCCAGCCUUCUUAGUCUAGCUCUAGGUAAAAAAGUUAGACCUGCACCAGCACUUGUCGAUGAACAACAUAUCUUGUCCUACAAAGAAGGAGGCUUCAGUGAUUUCCUUGACUUCAUUUCUGGAGAAGAUAUUGUGGAAGCAAAGUACAUAGACAAAUUAAAAAUAAAUCCAUGACGAUAAUAGUCCAUGGACAGCAGAGCAGGGCAUACACGAAUUCUCAUUUUUAGUCUUCACACUCCAUGUCAUACAAUCUGUUUGCACUUGUUAAAGUGCAAAGGUUAUAACCAGUAGCCAUCUUUCCUAUGUACUUUGUUCAAACAACGCUGGUGAGAGGUUCUUCUUUCUUCAACUUUUUUUUCUUUUUUUUUUGAAAAAGAAAAAUAAGGGCUCUUCUUUCUUCAUGCUAGGAGGCCUCACUGUGAAAAAUAAAUUUGGAACAGACUUUACCAGUCAUUCCAUCUUAAUUAGGGUUCCCUCAAGGUCACUUAUGAUUUAAGGAUCCAUAAUGUUUGCACCACCAACAAAAUUAAGAUGCAUCAUCAGGAUCUUCACUAAAUCCAAUGAUAUACCUCGGUUAGAAGCCAACAACUGGAAAAUUCAAAUAACUUCCAAAUUGGAAAAGAGUUCUAAUAUUCACAUCUAAUCCAGUUUAAGGCAAAUGUAGGUCAUACCAUAAGUUCAGAACUCAAGCCACAUUCAUCACUGGUAGACAGCUAGACGCGCUUAUAGGAGCAUGUGCUCUCACAGAAGGUAACAUUUUGAUGGUAAAUUGACACAGAAUGUUUAGCUAAGACCUUAAACUAAUUAGACAUGCAAAGAACAUUAUAUUGAUUUACAACCACAACCAUAUAAGGCCAAAAUGACCUUCCAACAAUACUAUCUGUAAACAUAGCGCAGAAAUAGCCAGCACAACACCUGCUCUCAUAUUAAUAUUAUCAUUUUUUUAUUCUUUCUGGUUUUGGGUUGAGAAGUUACCAUGGUAAACUAACUGGGACACAUGGCUUCAAACUCAAGUUCCAUGACUCAGGUAAUGCUCAGAUAUGAUACCCAAUGCUAACUACCAUAUAUUAUUGUUUAUCAGGGUAGACCUCGCUAAUGUUCAGACAUCCAAGCUGUUUUUUCUCCAACAUUAUCCACUCGUUUCAAACCUCCUUUAGACUAACUUGAAAUUAUUGCAAAAUCAAGGAAUAAAUUUUCAGGUGAAUACAUCUGAAUUUGUUUAACUAAAUUGGUUAUUAUACGUAGAUUUGAUUUCCUAUUGCACUAAAUAGCUGCAAUCAUCACCUUUGUUAAUCAGAUAACAUGGCAAACUUGCGAUGCUUUCCACCUCCUAAAAGGUUAUCUCCAUGCAUCAUCAGAAUCCGUUGUUAAUGUUUCUCUAAAUGAACAUCUGCAGUUUGUUUAUCUUAAUUGUUUCUAUUUACUUCCAAUUAAUUCAUUAUAUCACCACAUGACAUAUAGGAUUCAGUGAUCGUUAGUCCAUAAUUCAAGCUGAUAACUUAUCAUUUCCUCCAUAGAGUGCAAGCUUAUCUCUUUAGAAAUAAGCAUGAAAUAUCCUCAGAUCUCGUAACAAAACCGUCAUCUUUCCCCUAUUUUUCUCAAGAGAAAAUUUUACCUUGACAAUUGAUUUAAAAUAUAGCAUGAAUUUCUGUUUUUACCCAUUCAGAUAGGCAGUGAAAUCAAAUUCCUCCCUUUUUGGUGCAAUUAGUCGACUAUCGAGUUAUAUCUAGUCAACACCAAAUUAUAAUCUCAACUAUCCUUUUCUGUCCGGUUUUACUAAUUUCUCAAAGAGGAUAAUGGAAAACCAUUAAAGGCCAAAAAACAUCGGAUUAUUCAAGGAACAAGACGUGGUAAUCAAAUUUCAAGUGAUUAAUCAUUCAUUUUCCUCAGGGAAGAAAGGUAUAGGAUUUCUAAUUUUUUCAGCUGUUGACGCCAAUUUUUAGAAAUUCAGAUUCUAGUUCAAUUUUAAGCAUUUAAAAAUUAUGAAAUCGAAUUCCCUCGCUAAUUCAGUAUUAUAACGUAGUUAAACAAAUAAAAAUCAGCUAUUUGAAGUUGCUAAAACGAUUGCUCGAUUUCUUCUCGAUCUGAUGGUUAACUCUUAUGUUUGAUUUGCAUAUAAUCUCAAGAUAUACGAAUAGAAACAAAUAAACUUGCAGAUAUACAUGAAUCUAACUAUAAUUAGUAAAGAAUUUAAUACACAAAAAAAUCAUUAAAAAUACAGAAAAUUUCAACCGAUUCGAGGCACAAAAAAAAAACGCGGGAAAAACACUUACGAAGGGAAGUGAAAAUUGAUUCAAAAAAUUAGCCGUAACUCUCUGCCUUUUUCAUACGUCUCUGAUCUUCUCUGUCCCUACCGCUAAGCCUCUCCUCCAAUUUUACUUUUUUCUGAUUUUCAAUUUUCAGCGAAGGGGGCUUCGGAAAUUCGGAGAGAGGUGGAUUAGUUUCCUGCUCCGCGGGUUUACCGUAUGCCUUUCAAUUCUGGUCCUUUAGUUAGCCACGUGUCUAUCUGACGGCUCACGUUUUUAUAGAUUUUGGCGCAGUUUUUGAUUGUUUGCGAAGAUCAAAUUCAAAUAUAUUUAUUUUGUCGAAAAAAUUAAUUUUCAAUUAAUGCAGCAAACACCACCUAAUAAACAAUUUUAGAAAACAUUUCUAAAAGAUAAAAAAAAAUCACCAAGUUCCUAAGGGGCAGAAGUGGUCAACUUCCAGCGCACUGUCUUCUGGUCACUGUUUUCCAAUUAAUUUGAUUCUCUGUUUAAGGAAAAAAAAACUAUUGAACAUAUUGUUAAUCAUUACAACUAUCAUUACAUCUCAAAAUAUUUACAUCAUAUCAAAUUAAAUUGCUUAAUAAUAAAUGCUUUCAACUUGUUCUGAUCCCACUUUAUACAUCAAAAUUUCAUCAAUACCAUAUUUGUUAAUUUGUAUGAAAUUAAAAGGAAAUUUUUGUUUUAAUUAGGAACGACGAGAAGAUGAUAGAGAGGAAAGAGAAAAAAAAAAAAAAAAAAAAAAAAAAAG